GAUGAACGCUGGCGGCGUGCCUAAUACAUGCAAGUCGAGCGAACAGACGAGGAGCUUGCUCCUCUGACGUUAGCGGCGGACGGGUGAGUAACACGUGGAUAACCUACCUAUAAGACUGGGAUAACUUCGGGAAACCGGAGCUAAUACCGGAUAAUAUAUUGAACCGCAUGGUUCAAUAGUGAAAGACGGUUUUGCUGUCACUUCUAGAUGGAUCCGCGCGGCAUUAGCUGGUUGGUAAGGUAACGGCUCACCAAGGCAACGAUGCGUAGCCGACGUGAGAGGGUGGUAGGCCACACGGGAAGUGAGCCACGGUCCAGACUCCUACGGGAGGCAGCAGUAGGGAAUCUUCGGCAAUGGGCGAAAGCCUGACGGAACGACGCCGCGUGAGUGAUGAAGGUCUUCGGAUCGUAAAACUCUGUUAUUAGGGAAGAACAAAUGUGGAAGUAACUAUGCACGUCUUGACGGUACCGAAUCAGAAAGCCACGGCUAACUACGUG
This 497-nucleotide ribosomal RNA is filed under the name uncultured bacterium. RNAcentral describes it as "partial 16S ribosomal RNA". It matches the Rfam family "Bacterial small subunit ribosomal RNA", at positions 28 to 507 of the family's 1533-position model. The record is from RNAcentral.